AUAACCUACGGGAGGCAGCAGUGGGGAAUAUUGCACAAUGGGGGAAACCCUGAUGCAGCAACGCCGCGUGAGUGAAGAAGUCAUUCGUGAUGUAAAGCUCUAUCAGCAGGGAAGAAAAUGACGGUACCUGACUAAGAAGCCCCGGCUAACUACGUGCCAGCAGCCGCGGUAAUACGUAGGGGGCAAGCGUUAUCCGGAUUUACUGGGUGUAAAGGGAGCGUAGACGGCAGCACAAGUCUGGAGUGAAAUCCCGGGGCUUAACCCCGGAACUGCUUUGGAAACUGUGCGGCUGGAGGGCAGGAGGG
Molecule: ribosomal RNA, 305 nt
Filed under: uncultured bacterium
Lineage: Bacteria
Description: bacterial SSU rRNA
Rfam family: Bacterial small subunit ribosomal RNA
Source: RNAcentral